AGUGAACGCUGGCGGUAGGCCUAACACAUGCAAGUCGAACGGCAGCACAGUAAGAGCUUGCUCUUACGGGUGGCGAGUGGCGGACGGGUGAGGAAUACAUCGGAAUCUACUUUUUCGUGGGGGAUAACGUAGGGAAACUUACGCUAAUACCGCAUACGACCUACGGGUGAAAGCAGGGGAUCUUCGGACCUUGCGCGAUUGAAUGAGCCGAUGUCGGAUUAGCUAGUUGGCGGGGUAAAGGCCCACCAAGGCGACGAUCCGUAGCUGGUCUGAGAGGAUGAUCAGCCACACUAGAACUGAGACACGGUCCAGACUACUACGGGAGGCAGCAGUGGGGAAUAUUGGACAAUGGGCGCAAGCCUGAUCCAGCCAGACCGCGUGUGUGAAGAAGGCCUUCGGGUUGUAAAGCCCUUUUGUUGGGAAAGAAAAGCAGCAGGUUAAGACCCCGCUGUUCUGACGGUACCCAAAGAAUAAGCACCGGCUAACUUCGUG
Molecule: ribosomal RNA, 492 nt
Filed under: uncultured bacterium
Lineage: Bacteria
Description: partial 16S ribosomal RNA
Rfam family: Bacterial small subunit ribosomal RNA
Source: RNAcentral